GCGGACGUGGCGGAAUGGUAUACGCGCCAGCUUGAGGUGCUGGUGGGGGCAACCCUGUGGAGGUUCGAGUCCUCUCGUCCGCACCA
This 86-nucleotide transfer RNA is filed under the name Candidatus Berkelbacteria bacterium. RNAcentral describes it as "tRNA-Leu". It matches the Rfam family "tRNA". Rfam says of the family: Transfer RNA (tRNA) molecules are approximately 80 nucleotides in length. Their secondary structure includes four short double-helical elements and three loops (D, anti-codon, and T loops). Lineage: Bacteria; Candidatus Berkelbacteria. The record is from RNAcentral.